GGGGGGCCCCGUUUUAAUAAAAUGUAAAGUCCGAGCGGUAGCACAGGGGAGCUUGCUCCCUGGGUGACGAGCGGCGGUCGGGUGAGUAAUGUCUGGGAAACUGCCUGAUGGAGGGGGAUAACUACUGGAAACGGUAGCUAAUACCGCAUAACGUCGCAAGACCAAAGAGGGGGACCUUCGGGCCUCUUGCCAUCAGAUGUGCCCAGAUGGGAUUAGCUAGUAGGUGGGGUAAUGGCUCACCUAGGCGACGAUCCCUAGCUGGUCUGAGAGGAUGACCAGCCACACUGGAACUGAGACACGGUCCAGACUCCUACGGGAGGCAGCAGUGGGGAAUAUUGCACAAUGGGCGCAAGCCUGAUGCAGCCAUGCCGCGUGUGUGAAGAAGGCCUUCGGGUUGUAAAGCACUUUCAGCGAGGAGGAAGGUGGUGAGCUUAAUACGUUCAUCAAUUGACGUUACUCGCAGAAGAAGCACCGGCUAACUCCGUGCCAGCAGCCGCGGUAAUACGGAGGGUGCAAGCGUUAAUCGGAAUUACUGGGCGUAAAGCGCACGCAGGCGGUUUGUUAAGUCAGAUGUGAAAUCCCCGGGCUCAACCUGGGAACUGCAUUUGAAACUGGCAAGCUAGAGUCUCGUAGAGGGGGGUAGGAA
RNAcentral lists this ribosomal RNA (646 nucleotides) under Serratia marcescens. RNAcentral describes it as "bacterial SSU rRNA". It matches the Rfam family "Bacterial small subunit ribosomal RNA", at positions 41 to 667 of the family's 1533-position model. Lineage: Bacteria; Pseudomonadati; Pseudomonadota; Gammaproteobacteria; Enterobacterales; Yersiniaceae. The record is from RNAcentral.